RNAcentral lists this microRNA precursor (136 nucleotides) under Hordeum vulgare. RNAcentral's name for it is "microRNA MIR1122". It matches the Rfam family "MIR1120/MIR1122 microRNA precursor family". The record is from RNAcentral. Lineage: Eukaryota; Viridiplantae; Streptophyta; Magnoliopsida; Poales; Poaceae.
CUUAUACUCCCCCCGUCCCAAAAUUCUUGUCUUAGAUUUGUCUAGAUAUAAAUGUAUCUAGUCACAUUUUAGUAUUUAGAUACAUCUAUUUUUAGACAAAUCUAAGACAAGAAUUUUGGGACGGAGGGAGUAAUUU